Long non-coding RNA from Peromyscus eremicus (cactus mouse), 965 nucleotides. RefSeq lists it as uncharacterized. Lineage: Eukaryota; Metazoa; Chordata; Mammalia; Rodentia; Cricetidae. The transcript is spliced from 6 exons. The record is from RefSeq and is a predicted model, not a curated record.
UGAGCUUACAGCAGCAGCAUGGGCUGAAAUGUAUUACCAUUCUGCACCUGAAGGGAAAAAGCACACUAGGCUCAUAAAGGACACCUCCUUUAACUUGUUUCCUGUUUACCAAGGAUCUCUGGCCUCUCAGGACUUACCUUGUGCAAGUAGGAAGUCCACAGUUCCUAGAUGGCCUUCAGAAGCAGCCAUCAUCAGGGGAGUACGACCCUGCUUGUCUGCCAUGUUGACAUCAGCUCCGUGGGUUGUCAGAGGUUGACACCAGUGUCCUCCUUACUCUCUGCUGUGAUUUGAAUAAGAUGGCCUCCACCUCCACAGGAUUGCAACAUAUAUGAUCAAUGGAGGAAGAGGGAGAAAUUGUUUGAGAAGAGAAUUCCUGGGCUCUGGACCAUUACACAUAUAAAAGAAGUCAUGAAAUCAAUGCACAAUUUUAUCAGAAGAAGAAAGAAAACAAUUCAACAAGUUGUUAUAACUUUUAGUUAAGUUCAAAAUUCUUAUCUGAUUUUUAACAACAUUCUCACCUUUACCAAAAACCAUACCCUUCUUCUUUAGUGAAAUACGUUACCUACAUUUGUCAACUCAUUGUUAGUCUCUUUCUCCUGGCAAAUAUGACACACAUCUGGGGUAACUCUACCAUUUUCUCUGCCCCAGUCUCACAAAGACACAUCAAAGCUUACUAAUGUUUCUUCAGAUGCUCCAGUUUAGACUUGGAAGAAAUACAACAUUCAUUACCUGCAUCAGUCACAAGGAAGAGGCUACUGCUGGUGAGGCAAGGCCCACAUGAUAAAGAAAAUGCUUCACUAUACACCAGAGACUGCACUAGAUCAGUUUGCAUCUAGCUGGCAACUUUAGUCACAAGUAGAUGCAGAGGAUCCAAUGGAGAAUCCUGAAGCCUAAGGUGAUUUCAGAACUAUUACACAGAAGGAAACUGCACAAGUGAUCUGCACUAGACUGCAGUGUUAAGAGAG